CACAUCAUAUUUCAAACACCGGCUCCUGUAAGAUUCCCGAAGUUAAGCAACGUCGAGCCUAGUCACUACCUAGAUGGGUGAGCGCUUGAGAAUACCAGGUGUUGUAAG
This is a non-coding RNA of Acanthosepion pharaonis, 108 nucleotides long. Lineage: Eukaryota; Metazoa; Mollusca; Cephalopoda; Sepiida; Sepiidae. The record is from the annotation of a GenBank genome assembly.